Molecule: ribosomal RNA, 485 nt
Filed under: uncultured bacterium
Lineage: Bacteria
Description: partial 16S ribosomal RNA
Rfam family: Bacterial small subunit ribosomal RNA
Source: RNAcentral
AAUGAACGUUAGCGGCGUGGAUUAGGCAUGCAAGUCGAGCGGGUGCAGCAAUGCACCAGCGGCGGAAGGGUGAGUAAGGCGACGGCAACCAACCCCGAGGAUGGGUAUAGCCGCGGGAAACCGCGGGUAAUCCCCAGCGAUGCGAGGGCGUCGGCAUCGACGCUUCGCCAAAUGGAUCCGUCCGCCUCGGGACGGGCCGUCGUGGUAUUAGGUCGUUGGCGGGGUAGCGGCCCACCAAGCCUUCGAUGCCUACCGGGCGUGCGAGCGCGGCCCGGGACACUGGGACUGAGACACUGCCCAGACUCCUACGGGAGGCUGCAGUCGAGAGUCUUCGGCAAUGGGCGCAAGCCUGACCGAGCGACGCCGCGUGGAGGACGAAGGCCUUCGGGUUGUAAACUCCUGUCGAGGGGGAGAAAGGCUCCGCGAGGGGCUUGAUCGAUCCCUGGAGGAAGCACGGGCUAAGUUCGUGCCAGCAGCCGCGGUAA